AGUGAACGCUGGCGGCAGGCCUAACACAUGCAAGUCGAGCGGUAGCACAGAGAGCUUGCUCUCGGGUGACGAGCGGCGGACGGGUGAGCAAUGUCUGGGAAACUGCCUGAUGGAGGGGGAUAACUACUGGAAACGGUAGCUAAUACCGCAUAACGUCGCAAGACCAAAGUGGGGGACCUUCGGGCCUCAUGCCAUCAGAUGUGCCCAGAUGGGAUUAGCUAGUAGGUGGGGUAAUGGCUCACCUAGGCGACGAUCCCUAGCUGGUCUGAGAGGAUGACCAGCCACACUGGAGCUGAGACACGGUCAGACUCCUACGGGAGGCAGCAGUGGGGAAUAUUGCACAAGGGGCGCAAGCCUGAUGCAGCCAUGCCGCGUGUAUGAAGAAGGCCUUCGGGUUGUAAAGUACUUUCAGCGAGGAGGAAGGCGUUAAGGUUAAUAACCUUGGCGAUUGACGUUACUCGCAGAAGAAGCACCGGCUAACUCCGUGCCAGCCGCCGCGGUAA
This 503-nucleotide ribosomal RNA is filed under the name uncultured bacterium. RNAcentral describes it as "partial 16S ribosomal RNA". It matches the Rfam family "Bacterial small subunit ribosomal RNA", at positions 29 to 523 of the family's 1533-position model. The record is from RNAcentral.